UGACAUUGAAUGAGUUCGGAUUGGCCU
This 27-nucleotide non-coding RNA is filed under the name Homo sapiens (human). Lineage: Eukaryota; Metazoa; Chordata; Mammalia; Primates; Hominidae. The record is from RNAcentral.